UUAAGGAAAGCGGAGGCCGGGAAUGGAAAGUCCGGUGUAAGCGGGGUACCAGUCACUUUGGCAAAUCCGGGUGGCAAUGGGAAGCCGUGAUGCGGAGCGAAAUAAAGUAGUGAAGUCCGUGAGCCAUGCGUCAAGAAAAGCCGCUAUCGUUUAUACCGUACCCGUACCGUAAACCGACACAGGUGGAUGAGGAGAGAAUCCUAAGGCCGGCGGAAGAAGCAUUGUCAAGGAACUCGGCAAAAUGGCCCCGUAACUUAGGGAUAAGGGGUGCCUGGGAAACCAGGCCGCAGAGAAUAGGCUCAAGCAACUGUUUAGCAAAAACACAGGUCUAUGCGAAACCGAAAGGUGAGGUAUAUGGGCUGACGCCUGCCCGGUGCUGGAAGGUUAAGAGGAGAGGUUAGCGGUAACGCGAAGCUUUGAAUUUAAGCCCCAGUAAACGGCGGCCGUAACUAUAACGGUCCUAAGGUAGCGAAAUUCCUUGUCGGGUAAGUUCCGACCCGCACGAAAGGCGUAAUGAUUUGAGCACUGUCUCGACAAUGCAUCCGGUGAAAUUGAAGUACCAGUGAAGAUGCUGGUUACCUGCGCCAGGACGGAAAGACCCCAUGGAGCUUUACUCCAGUCUGGUACUGGGACUCGGUAUUGCAUGUACAGGAUAGGUGGGAGGCUAGGAGAUGGUAACGCCAGUUGCCAUGGAGCCGCUGUUGGGAUACCACCCUUGCAGUAUUGGGUUUCUAACCAGCCGCCGUGACCCGGCGGUGGGACAAUGCCAGACGGGGAGUUUGACUGGGGCGGUCGCCUCCGAAAGGGUAUCGGAGGCGCCCAAAGGUUCCCUCAGAAUGGACGGAAACCACUCGAAGAGUGCAAAGGCAGAAGGGAGCUUGACUGCGACACCGACGGGUGGAGCAGGUACGAAAGUAGGGCUUAGUGAUCCGGUGGUAUUAAGUGGGAAUGCCAUCGCUCAACGGAUAAAAGCUACCCUGGGAUAACAGGCUUAUCACUCCCAAGAGUUCACAUCGACGGAGUGGUUUGGCACCUCGAUGUCGGCUCAUCGCAUCCUGGGGCUGUAGUAGGUCCCAAGGGUUGGGCUGUUCGCCCAUUAAAGCGGUACGCGAGCUGGGUUCAGAACGUCGUGAGACAGUUCGGUCCCUAUCCGGCGUGGGCGUAGGAUAUCUGAGAGGAGCUGUCCUUAGUACGAGAGGACCGGGAUGGACGGGCCGCUGGUGCAUCGGUUAGACUGCCAAGUCUACGGCCGAGUAGCCAAGCCCGGAAGGGAUAAACGCUGAAGGCAUCUAAGCGUGAAGCCCCCCUUAAGAUGAGAUAUCCCAUUCGUUAAGAAGUAAACCCCCUUGAAGACGACGAGGUAGAUAGGGCAGAGGUGGAAGUGCAGCAAUGUAUGGAGCUGACUGUUACUAAUCGGGUGAGGGCUUGACCG
RNAcentral lists this ribosomal RNA (1432 nucleotides) under metagenome. Its description in RNAcentral is "bacterial LSU rRNA". It matches the Rfam family "Bacterial large subunit ribosomal RNA", at positions 1477 to 2925 of the family's 2925-position model. The record is from RNAcentral.